UACAGAGGUCUCAAGCGUUGUUCGGAUUCAUUGGGCGUGAAGGGUGCGUAGGCGGCGCGGUAAGUCGGGUGUGAAAUCUCGGAGCUUAACUCCGAAACUGCAUUCGAUACUGCCGUGCUUGAGGACUGGAGAGGAGACUGGAAUUUACGGUGUAGCGGUGAAAUGCGUAGAUAUCGGGAGGAACACCAGUAGCGAAGGCGGCACUCUGGGCCGGUACUGACGCUGAGGAGCGAAAGCGUGGGGAGCGAACAGG
This 253-nucleotide ribosomal RNA is filed under the name uncultured bacterium. RNAcentral's name for it is "partial 16S ribosomal RNA". It matches the Rfam family "Bacterial small subunit ribosomal RNA", at positions 524 to 776 of the family's 1533-position model. The record is from RNAcentral.